GUGCACGCUGGCGGUAGGCCUAACCCCUGCCAGUCGCACGGCAGCACAGUAAGAGCUUGCUCUUACGGGUGGCGAGUGGCGGACGGGUGAGGAAUACAUCGGAAUCUACUUUUUCGUGGGGGAUAACGUAGGGAAACUUACGCUAAUACCGCCUACGACCUACGGGUGAAAGCAGGGGAUCUUCGGACCUUGCGCGAUUGAAUGAGCCGAUGUCGGAUUAGCUAGUUGGCGGGGUAAAGGCCCACCAAGGCGACGAUCCGUAGCUGGUCUGAGAGGAUGAUCAGCCACACUGGAACUGAGACACGGUCCAGACUCCUACGGGAGGCAGCAGUGGGGAAUAUUGGACAAUGGGCGCAAGCCUGAUCCAGCCAUACCGCGUGGGUGAAGAAGGCCUUCGGGUUGUAAAGCCCUUUUGUUGGGAAAGAAAAGCAGCAGGUUAAUACCCCGCUGUUCUGACGGUACCCAAAGAAUAAGCACCGGCUAACUUCGUG
Molecule: ribosomal RNA, 491 nt
Filed under: uncultured bacterium
Lineage: Bacteria
Description: partial 16S ribosomal RNA
Rfam family: Bacterial small subunit ribosomal RNA
Source: RNAcentral